UGGCCGCCAUCGAGACGCCACAGCCUGCUUCCCACCCCUCUGGAUUUAGCAGAAAUGGGCUGCAAUGUCAGCGCUGACACACCGCUCGGGUUGGGCUCUGCUGUGCUGCACGCGCCCAGGCAUCACACAGGUUAGAGGUGUUACUGGACAGGCUUUCCAGGAUCUUUUGCAUCACAGCCCAGAGGCAGCUUUAUACCAGUACAAAAUCACUGAGGGAUCCAGGGCCUCCUUGAACAAACUGGGAUGGCCUUGCUGCAGGAAGAGCAGAGGAACCAGCAGCUCCUGGAAGAUACCUGGCUAUAACCAAGCUGGGCAGCACCUGCUAGUCCACCCCC
RNAcentral lists this long non-coding RNA (335 nucleotides) under Dromaius novaehollandiae (emu). Its description in RNAcentral is "lncRNA (ENSDNVG00000000426.1)". Lineage: Eukaryota; Metazoa; Chordata; Aves; Casuariiformes; Dromaiidae. The record is from RNAcentral.